Molecule: long non-coding RNA, 2755 nt
Organism: Vidua macroura (Pin-tailed whydah)
Lineage: Eukaryota; Metazoa; Chordata; Aves; Passeriformes; Viduidae
Exons: 3
Source: RefSeq, a predicted model, not a curated record
GGGAGCCCGUCCCCACCGAGCGGCUCCGGCACGGUUGCGUUCCCAUGGCCACGGCGGGCGGGCGGGCGGGGCCGGGAAUGUCCCGCCCCUGCGGCCGGGCGUUGCUGCGUCCGGACGCUGCCCUGCCCGGCGCUGGGGGCGGCUGAUCGUGCCUCUACCGCGGGCAGGCGCGCCCCUCGGGGUUUUCCCUUGCUGCUUGUGCUCCUGCUCCUUGCAGCGCCCCGCGCCCGCUUUCCGCAGAGCCCUAAGGCUUCGCCCUGCCGCCUCCAUCUUGUGCCGCGUCCGGGAGAGCGGCGCUGGUGCGGGGAUGUAGCUGGACUUUGAGGGGACAGGGCAGGAAUGAGGCCGGGAUAGGAAGGACACGUGUAUUUUUGCUUUUCAGCAGCUGCUGCUGGAGUUGUUUCAUGUGAUGCUCCCGGGACCCUCGGUUAGUGCUCAGGAAAUCUGGUUUAGCAGUUACAGGAUUCAAGCCUGGAUAUUCUUAUUCUUGGGUUUGCUUGUUGUCAUUUAGGACUUCUGCAGCUGUAAAGUGGUGAAAGUGAGUCCAGAGAAGGGCAAGGGAGCUGGUGAAGGGUCUGGAGCUCAAGUCCUGCGCGGAGUGGCUGAGCGAGCUGGGGUUGUUUAGCGUGGGGAACAGGAGCCUUGGUGACCUUAUGUCUCUCUAGAAUUCCUUGAAAGGAAGGUGUAGCCAGCUGGAGAUUGGCCUCUUCUCCCAGGCAACCAGUGACAAGACAAGAGGACACAGCCUUAAGAUGUGCCGGAGGAGGUUUAGAUUGGACAUUAGGAGGAAUUGGACAUUGGGAUGCACUGCACGGGGCGGUGGUGACGUCACUGUCGGUGGAGGUGUUUAAGGAAAGACUGAUGUGGCACUCAGUGCUAUAGUCUGUUUGACACGGUGGUGUUUGGUCGUAGGCUGGACUCAGUGAUCUCAGAGGUCUUUUCCAACCUAAUUGCUUCUCUGGUUUUAUGAAAAUAGGCUUGCUACGUACUGCCUAGAGAGGCUGCAGGGUUUGUUUUUUUUUAAUCUCUAGAGCAUCUCAAGAGGCCUGUAAAAAGCAUUACAAAUAAAUAUCAUACUUUGCAAAAUAUUGCUGUUUCCUCAAGGAGGAGGCCAUCCUUUUCUAUAAGAAACAAAGUUGGAAGCUUCUUCAUGGUAAAUGUUAUAACCAGAAAAGGCUAAUGCUUUUGUGAACAUAAGGAGAUUUGCAGCAACGCUGCCUAGGAAUAGGACACAAAAAACAGAGAAAUUGAAAAUGGGCCCUGUCCUCUGUCUAUAACCUUGAAGCAAGUUCAUUACGUUAGUUAUUUUGUGUACAAAACUGUGUAUCAAAGGGUUAUUCACAGCUUGUCACAUCUGAUAUAAAAUGCUGGCCCUUCAGUACCUCAUUACAGGAAAGCAACUUUAGGACUGUAGUUCCAAAUGCCUUGGCUCUGUGAAUUGUAGACAAUUUAACUUUGAAUGCUAGUUUACUUUCUUAAAGGCCCACCCCUUGCCUGAAGCAACAACAUUUUUAGGUUAAUGGGUCAACUGAAGAUGCGUCUGAACUAAGAAAUGCUGUCUCAGCUUUGUUUCUGACAGACAUCAUCUACAUCUCUACAUCUGUAGGAUGUGACUUCCCACAAUGGAUUCAUCCGUGCCCUAAAGAUACCCAGCAGGCUGUAAACACCCUCAUUUUACUAAAGAGCUUUACAAUGUGAUACCUUAUUAUAAUUUUUGAUGUGGCAACAGAAGCCACUUUUUAAUAGAGCUCCCUGGCAUUUCUCAUUAUCAAGUUCAGUUUUCCUUUCUUCUAUCUUAUUUCAUUAAAACUCCAUGAUUUCCAUGAAAUUCUUCCAUGCUGAACAUCUGCCUUGGCGUAAUGAGGUGUGUAAACUGCACUUUGGCCAAAAAAUUAUUCUUUGUUGGCUCCACCCUCUGAUAUUUUUCCACUUUAAGGUUUUCAGAGAUGACUAAAUACAGGCAGCCUGGACUUCUUUUUUUCUUUAGGUGGAAUGGAUCAGAUGGAAACCAGGUUGAGAAGGAGCAAUGGAAUAACUAAAUGGGUUCUUGAGAGUCCUACAAGAUGCCAGGGCAUAGCCAAACAGAUAAGUACUCUCUGUAGUCAUGUACGACCAAAAAGGUACAGUCCCACUAUUAACUUUUACUGCAUUAAAUUGGACUAAAUGUGAGAUAUUGCCACGUUUUUCUUUGUUCACCAUGAGCUGCCUGGCCCCGCUGCCUCUGAUCUGCCAAGUGUUAGCACCUGAAAGACUAUGUACGGAACCAGCUCUGGAGACUGAUAUGGCAGAAAACUAACUUGUCAAAAAAUAAAAGAUAAAAGUUUUCAGGGUACUGCAUAGCUGCCUGAAGACCGGUACUCACUCAUAGGAGGUGACAGGUGUGUGAUUCAAAAGGAAAGCAGCAGCACAAGGCUGCAGUCAAUGUCAUUGCUAAGUUUUUAAUCCAGAAGAAGGGAGCCUUCCUUCCAGCCAGCAAAAAGAAGGAGGCAGAUGGGGGUCACUAUUCCCAUCAGAAAGCAGAGGCAUCUUCUGGAGGACACUCAUACUUAACUUCACUUGGACUGAGUCAUCUUCUUAAAUGCUGAUUUUUAAAGAACAGAGCUCACAUUUGGAUGAUUUGCAGGGCUGUAGUCAGGUGUGUUGUCUUGCCUCAGGAGGAAAAGGAUCUUGGAUUGAACUCCUUAGGGAACUAGUGAAUUCCUAAUGUUCUCACUCCUCUCAUGUAAUAUUCAGAGGAUUAAAUGCCAAUACCGUU